CGAUUGGUGCCGCGUUGGGGACGGAUCCGGCUGCUCCGUGCAAGAUUGAGCAGUCGCCGUCUGCGCGGGCCCAAGCUAGGCGAGGGGAAAUAUAGGAGGCAGCGACUGCGGUGGAGAAGGAAAGGCUUCGGCUGCUGUGCUUUCAACAGGUGGUGGGGAGAAGGACGCUUCGGCGGCUGCGUUUUCCGAUGGUGAAAGAUGGAUGAUAUUUGGAGCUCGUCCUCGUCAUCCGAGUCGGAUGAUUCUGACAUAGAAGAGAUGAUUUUUUACGACGAUGUCGAGCAUCCUUUUUUGUUGCACCUUGUUGACAAAUUUGAAGCCGGCAAGAAGAAGAGGCAUCGCGGUUCGACAGUCAGCCGGCUUUGCAUUCCACGCAACCAAGCUCUCGGUCACAAGUUGCUCAUGAGAGACUACUUUGCUAAGGUACCAACCUACCCGGAUCAUCUCUUCCUUUGGCGUUAUCGAAUGUGUAUGUCUCUUUUUGUUCGCAUUGUGGAAGCUUGCAAACAAAAUUGUCGGUUCUUCACUCACCAAAGAAGCCGGUCUGCUAGGAUUUAGUGCAUACCAAAAAAUAUCGGUGGCAAUAUGAGUGAUAGCAUAUGGCAUUCUGGUUGAUUACACCGAUGAGUAUCUUUGCAUCGAAGAAGAUACCACGCUCAAAUGCAUGUGUAAUUCUACACAAUAUGAUCAUCGAUGAUGAGAGGGAUUUAAACUUAGAGCUUUUCUUUCUAUGACAAUAUUGAUAGCCGUGUCAAGCCUACUAGAAACUCAGAUGAGAUCAAUGCAUUUCUUAAAACCUACCGAUAGACAGAAGACCGUGACAAACAUCAGCAGCUCCGCAAUUAUCUCAUUGAGCAUCAAUGGCAAUUGUAUGGUCAAUAGACUCCAAUUUUAUUAAUUUGAUCUAUUCUUUUCAUGUGUGAGGUGAACAAUUGUUUUAAUUCUGAACAAUUUAUUAUUGUAAUAAUUCCAAACAAUUUGUUAUUCGGAUUUCAAUAUUUGUUGUA
Triticum urartu is the source of this 1007-nucleotide long non-coding RNA. RefSeq lists it as uncharacterized. Lineage: Eukaryota; Viridiplantae; Streptophyta; Magnoliopsida; Poales; Poaceae. The record is from RefSeq and is a predicted model, not a curated record.